UUGAUCCUGGCUCAGAUUGAACGUUGGCGGCAGGCCUAAUACAUGCAAGUCGAACGAGAAAGUCCCUUCGGGGGCGAGUAGAGUGGCGGACGGGUGAGUAACGCGUAGGAAUCCACCCAAUAGUGGGGGAUAACCCGAGGAAACUCGGGCUAAUACCGCAUGUGACCUUCGGUUUCGACCGGGGAUGAAAGCGGGGGAUCGGCACGCCGGCGCAAGUCGGCGCUAAGACCUCGCGCUAUUGGACGAGCCUGCGUUGGAUUAGCUUGUUGGUGAGGUAAUGGCUCACCAAGGCGACGAUCCAUAGCUGGUCUGAGAGGACGAUCAGCCACACUGGAACUGAGACACGGUCCAGACUCCUACGGGGAGGCAGCAGUAGGGAAUAUUGUGCAAUGGGCGAAAAGCCUGACACAGCCAUGCCGCGUGUGUGAAGAAGGCCCCUAGGGUUGUAAAGCACUUUCCACCGGAAAAAGAAAAAGCCCCGGAGCUAAUAACCCUCCAGGGUCCUUGACGUUACCCGGCAGAAAGAAGCACCCGGGCU
This 538-nucleotide ribosomal RNA is filed under the name uncultured bacterium. RNAcentral describes it as "bacterial SSU rRNA". It matches the Rfam family "Bacterial small subunit ribosomal RNA", at positions 13 to 498 of the family's 1533-position model. The record is from RNAcentral.